This 965-nucleotide long non-coding RNA is filed under the name Pan troglodytes (chimpanzee). RNAcentral describes it as "long non-coding RNA NONPTRT015752". The record is from RNAcentral. Lineage: Eukaryota; Metazoa; Chordata; Mammalia; Primates; Hominidae.
CACAACAGGAUGUCUGUAGUCAAUAACUUAAUUGUAUAUUUUAAAGUCAAUAAUCUAUAAUGUUCAGGACUGUUCAAAUGCUUAGUAAAGUACUGAGAAGGUCCUCAUUUUAUUUUGCCCUAAUUUUGAUAUUCUGUGCAAAGAAAUGAAGCCUAAGACAAAGUUGUCAACUGCCUGGAUGAGUGUUAAAAAUGUGUUUGAAUGCACACACACACUCAGGCACAGACACUCUCAGAAAACUCUGGGAGACUUAUUUGUUGAAGGCAUUUAAGAAAGUUCGUGUUCAGUCAUUAGGCGAGAUAACCAAGUAGAGAUUUUAGUGGCCACACAUGACAAAGAAUACAGACUUUUAAAAAAUUAUUUCAGAAAUGUUGUUAUAUAACAACAAUAAUAACUAAUAUCAACAACAAUAAACCAUGAGGAGCAGGGAGAAUCUGUGUUCCAGAGUUGCCAUAUUAUUUUAAAUAUUCUUGUUUCAACAAAAAUUAUGAAACAUGAAAAGUAACAAAACAACAAAGUUCUAUGCACAAGAAAAGAGAAAAACAGUCAAUGAAAACAUUUUAUUUUGGAGUCAGGGGUAAAUUUGGAUUGUGUUUCUGGACAUCAACUUGAUAUGACUUCAUCGCAGUGUAAUGAACUAAACUGAAACUGGACCCCUUCCUUACACCUUAUACAAAUUAACUCAAGAUUGAUUAAAGACUUCAAUGUAAAACCCAAAACUAUAAAAACCCUAGAAGAAAAUCUAGGCAAUACCAUUCAGGACAUAGGCACAGGCAAAGAUUUCAUGAUGAAAAUGCCUAAAGCAAUUGCAACAAAAGCCAAAAUUGACAAAUGGGAUCUAACUAAAGAGCUUCUGCACAGCAAAAGAAACCAUCAUCAGAGUGAACAGAUAAUCUACAGAAUGGGAGAAAUUUUUUGCAAUCUAUCCAUCUGACAAAGGUCUAAUAUCCAUUCUGCAAGGAACU